CGGCCGCCGCCGCGGAGGAGGAGGAGAAAGAGGAGGGGACAGCUGUCCGCGCCCGGGCGCCCGCGGUGGCACGAGCCCGCGGCCCGAGUGCGAGGCGGAGGCGAGGAGGCCGCGGGGACGCGAGGCGAGGCCGGCCGGGGCCCCCGCAGCCAUGGAGAACGCUCACACAAAGACCGUGGAGGAGGUGCUGGGCCACUUCGGCGUCAACGAGAGCACGGGGCUGAGCCUGGAGCAGGUCAAGAAGCUCAAGGAGAGAUGGGGCUCCAACGAAUUGCCGGCUGAAGAAGGUAAAUAAUU
RNAcentral lists this long non-coding RNA (297 nucleotides) under Rattus norvegicus (Norway rat). RNAcentral describes it as "long non-coding RNA NONRATT007529". Lineage: Eukaryota; Metazoa; Chordata; Mammalia; Rodentia; Muridae. The record is from RNAcentral.